GGAUUAGAUACCCUGGUAGUCCACACCGUAAACGAUGAUUGCUAGUUGUUGGCAGAUUUAUCUGUCUGUGACGCAGCUAACGCAUUAAGCAAUCCGCCUGGGGAGUACGGCCGCAAGGUUAAAACUCAAAGAAAUUGACGGGGGCCCGCACAAGCGGUGGAGCAUGUGGUUUAAUUCGAACCAACGCGCAGAACCUUACCUGCUCUUGACAUCCCGAUCGCGGUUAGUGGAGACACUCUCCUUCAGUUAGGCUGGAUCGGUGACAGGUGCUGCAUGGCUGUCGUCAGCUCGUGCUG
This 296-nucleotide ribosomal RNA is filed under the name uncultured bacterium. RNAcentral's name for it is "partial 16S ribosomal RNA". It matches the Rfam family "Bacterial small subunit ribosomal RNA", at positions 775 to 1067 of the family's 1533-position model. The record is from RNAcentral.